GACGAACGCUGGCGGCGUGCUUAACACAUGCAAGUCGAACGGAAAGGCCCUGCUUUUGUGGGGUGCUCGAGUGGCGAACGGGUGAGUAACACGUGAGUAACCUGCCCUUGACUUUGGGAUAACUUCAGGAAACUGGGGCUAAUACCGGAUAGGAGCUCCUGCUGCAUGGUGGGGGUUGGAAAGUUUCGGCGGUUGGGGAUGGACUCGCGGCUUAUCAGCUUGUUGGUGGGGUAGUGGCUUACCAAGGCUUUGACGGGUAGCCGGCCUGAGAGGGUGACCGGCCAACGUGUGACGAGAAGCACGCCUACACGGCUGGGGGGGGGAGCAGUGGGGAAUAAGUCAGAGGGGGAGGGAGCCGUGUGCAGCGCGGCGGGGUGGGGGAGGACUGCCUUCGGGUUGUAAGCCGCGUUCGACUGUGAAGAAGUGGGAGUGACGGUAGGGGGUAAAGAAGCACCUGCUAACUACGUGGCAGCAGCCGCGGUAAUACUAGGACGAGCACAUGUCUGAUC
Molecule: ribosomal RNA, 509 nt
Filed under: uncultured bacterium
Lineage: Bacteria
Description: partial 16S ribosomal RNA
Rfam family: Bacterial small subunit ribosomal RNA
Source: RNAcentral